This 510-nucleotide ribosomal RNA is filed under the name uncultured bacterium. RNAcentral's name for it is "bacterial SSU rRNA". It matches the Rfam family "Bacterial small subunit ribosomal RNA", at positions 15 to 518 of the family's 1533-position model. The record is from RNAcentral.
GAUCCUGGCUCAGGAUGAACGCUAGCUACAGGCUUAACACAUGCAAGUCGAGGGGCAGCAUUGGAGUAGCAAUACUCAGAUGGCGACCGGCGCACGGGUGAGUAACACGUAUCCAACCUGCCGCUUACUCGGGGAUAGCCUUUCGAAAGAAAGAUUAAUACCCGAUGGUAUAAAGAGUUCGCAUGUUCUCUUUAUUAAAGAAUUUCGGUAAGCGAUGGGGAUGCGUUCCAUUAGAUAGUUGGCGGGGUAACGGCCCACCAAGUCUACGAUGGAUAGGGGUUCUGAGAGGAAGGUCCCCCACAUUGGAACUGAGACACGGUCCAAACUCCUACGGGAGGCAGCAGUGAGGAAUAUUGGUCAAUGGACGAGAGUCUGAACCAGCCAAGUAGCGUGAAGGAUGACUGCCCUAUGGGUUGUAAACUUCUUUUAUAAGGGAAUAAAGUGAGGGACGUGUCCCUUUUUGUAUGUACCUUAUGAAUAAGGAUCGGCUAACUCCGUGCCAGCAGCAGC